Long non-coding RNA from Oncorhynchus tshawytscha (Chinook salmon), 343 nucleotides. The record is from Ensembl. NCBI's taxonomy places the organism in Eukaryota, Metazoa, Chordata, Actinopteri, Salmoniformes, Salmonidae.
ACUUUAGGCACGCCCCCUUUGGCUCACCGGCGCACCCCCCCAGCCUUCUCACCUGCCCUGUCCGCCUCCACAGCUGUCGUCAAUGGACAAAUGCUGUAGCAAGGAUCAUGGUGGCGAAAAGUCUAGUGUCUUUAGUGUUUCUAAUUUGUUGCAUCGUUGGAACCGAGAACAAUAAAGGUCGGCUUCAAUGUCGACGGCACCUCAUGAGUCACCUCUACUCAGCAAUGCAUCAGAUAUUUUUAAUGGACAAACAUCUAAACUUUCCAGCUACACGGUUGUAAAGCCUCAGCUUGUUCACAGGAGAUGGGCAAGAAAUGCCGACAGACGUCCUGACUGGGGAAAG